Acipenser ruthenus (sterlet) is the source of this 1835-nucleotide long non-coding RNA. RefSeq lists it as uncharacterized. The record is from RefSeq and is a predicted model, not a curated record. Lineage: Eukaryota; Metazoa; Chordata; Actinopteri; Acipenseriformes; Acipenseridae. The transcript has 2 exons.
UAGCAUGGUCUUGAUAUUUAUUGAUUGCUCUGCUACUAAAAACUAGCCAUACCUGAGAACUGCUUUUUCACAGUGUACUUCGACGCUUCCAAAUGUUAAAAAAAGCAAAACCCACACUUUUAAUAAAUCACAAAUAACAAAACAAUCAAAACACACGAACAAAAAUAAAGGUUUAAACAAAACACUACUCAAACACUUUUAAACUCUUAAAAAAAACCACCUCAAAACACCCAAGCUUUGCUGUCCCAGUGCUCUCUUACUUUCUUUCUUUUUCCCUUUCCUUCUCUGUUCUGUUCUGUUCUGUUCCUCUCACAAACCUCUUCUCUUCCCUUUUCUACCAUGUGGCCAGAGGCUUGAUUGAUUCAAUCAAUCAUCCAUUCACCACCUGGCCACAUUCCACAAGUUUCCAUUCACUCUCAAUCAAACAAUUAAUCAUUCAAUCUAACAACCAUGUGGCUGUGUGAAUGGUGGCCAUCUUGGUUACCGGCUGUCCCUUCAGCAAGAUGGCCGCCAGCCACCAAACUCUCUCUCACAGACACACACCCGUGCACCCCCAUGUGCAGAGCCUAUGCACUGUCACAGGGCCAUAUGGAAAGUAAGGGUUGAAUGUCCUAUGCCACACACUGAGCUUCUUUCUCAGCAUAUUUUCUGUUUUCACUUUUGCUGUAAGUGACUUGAGCAAGUUUACUGUGAUUUUCUUCAUGCUUUCUAUUCACCACAUCACAGUGGUUUCAUGAUUUGGAAAGAUGGCAUAGUUCCACUAUCUCCAUAUAAACGUGAAGAUAACUUUGUUCUGUCCUUCUGUAGAUUACUUUCCCUGUGCUAAUUCUCCAAUAAAAUGUUGUUUUUAAAAUACAUGGGCUAAAAGCUGAAGAAAAUGAUCUGAUCUGCUGAAAACAUACACAUCAUAAAAUACUUUUGAUGUAAAAUACUGUAAUACCCUUAAUCUUAACUCACUGGCAACUCAUUGAAGGGGGAUUUCAAUGAGCUUUUCCGCUUAAGAAAAAUGUUGAGGGGAAUUAGAAGGUAAUGCAAUUUACAAAUGCUUAUUUUUUUAAAUUCUGAACCCCAGAUAAUCAGCUUUUUAAAAUUUGUAUUAAUGUUUAGUACUGUGUCUCUGUAUUAUUAAAUAUCCACUACGGAGUCCAAACAAUUCAGAGGGUGAAAAGUAAAGGUUUAAUUUGGGCUAAAAUCCAGAUAUUUAUGUCACAUUGCAUUUUUAAUAUGCCCAAGAGUAGGCUCAUCUUUAGACACAAUUCAAACUUGUCCCAUAGCCUUCACAGAUCAUUAAGCACUAUUUUCAAUAUCUCAGUUAUACCUGGCAUUACAGUGUCAGAUGAGCCCGCUACCGCAGUUCACACAUCCAUGGGUCAAGGGGCUAAGCUAGAUGCCAGGACCUUUAUUGAUCCACUCUGCUGAAUUACUCAGAAGCACUAUGGGCUGAUGUAUGUACACACAUUAUACUGAUCCCCACACCUCCAGCUGGAUUUGUCUGUAGAUAACGCAAGUCUAUUCUCCCACAGGUGUACAAUAUGAGCGAUGAAGGAGUCUGAACUGUUUCGAUUUGCCGUUAAUUUCCCUGGAGGCCAUUGAAGCAGCACUCUAUCCCUGGACCUACUUUUCAUCUGUCAUUGAGAGAACAGAGAACCUCUUGAGAGGCAAAAAGGGUUUUAAGCCACUUAGGGAAGGUUAAGGCGGCCCCGGGAUGCUCCGAAGGAUGAGACUGUGCUCCAACUAUUUUAUUCUACUUAUGUUUCUUCAACCAUUGUCUGGGUUCAGUGUUUUUGGAAAUCUGUACGAUUUUGUAUUAUAAUAAAGGUGGUUAUUUAAUGCAA